Molecule: ribosomal RNA, 450 nt
Filed under: uncultured bacterium
Lineage: Bacteria
Description: partial 16S ribosomal RNA
Rfam family: Bacterial small subunit ribosomal RNA
Source: RNAcentral
GUGGGGAAUUUUGGACAAUGGGCGCAAGCCUGAUCCAGCAAUGCCGCGUGCAGGAAGAAGGCCUUCGGGUUGUAAACUGCUUUUGUACGGAACGAAACGGUCCGGGUUAAUACCCUGGGCUAAUGACGGUACCGUAAGAAUAAGCACCGGCUAACUACGUGCCAGCAGCCGCGGUAAUACGUAGGGUGCAAGCGUUAAUCGGAAUUACUGGGCGUAAAGCGUGCGCAGGCGGUUUUGUAAGACAGGCGUGAAAUCCCCGGGCUCAACCUGGGAAUUGCGCUUGUGACUGCAAGGCUGGAGUGCGGCAGAGGGGGAUGGAAGUCCGCGUGUAGCAGUGAAAUGCGUAGAUAUGCGGAGGAACACCGAUGGCGAAGGCAAUCCCCUGGGCCUGCACUGACGCUCAUGCACGAAAGCGUGGGGAGCAAACAGGAUUAGAUACCCGAGUAGUCC